GACAGAGGGUGCAAACGUUGUUCGGAAUUACUGGGCGUAAAGCGCGUGUAGGCGGUCUCGCAAGUCGGAUGUGAAAGCCCAGGGCUCAACCCUGGAAGUGCACUCGAUACUGCGAGGCUAGAGUCCCGGAGAGGAUGGUGGAACUCUCGGUGUAGAGGUGAAAUUCGUAGAUAUCGAGAAGAACACCGGUGGCGAAGGCGGCCAUCUGGACGAUAACUGACGCUGGGACGCGAAAGCGUGGGGAGCAAACAGG
This 253-nucleotide ribosomal RNA is filed under the name uncultured bacterium. RNAcentral describes it as "partial 16S ribosomal RNA". It matches the Rfam family "Bacterial small subunit ribosomal RNA", at positions 524 to 776 of the family's 1533-position model. The record is from RNAcentral.